CCUACGGGUGGCAGCAGUGAGGAAUAUUGGUCAAUGGGCGCGAGCCUGAACCAGCCAAGUCGCGUGAAGGAUGACUGCCCUACGGGUUGUAAACUUCUUUUAUAAAGGAAUAAAGUGUAGCACGUGUGCCUUUUUGUAUGUACUUUAUGAAUAAGGAUCGGCUAACUCCGUGCCAGCAGCCGCGGUAAUACGGAGGGUCCGAGCGUUAUCCGGAUUGAGUGGGUUUAAAGGGAGCGUAGGUGGGUUGUUAAGUCAGUUGUGAAAGUUUGCGGCUCAACCGGAAAAUUGCAAUUGAUACUGGCAGCCUUGAGUACAGUAGAGGUAGGCAGAAUUCGUGGUGUAGCGGUGAAAUGCUUAGAGAUCACGAAGAACUCCGAUUGCGAAGGCAGCCUACUAAACUGCCACUGACAUUGAUGCUCGAAAGUGUGGGUAUCAAACAGGAUUAGAUACCCUAGUAGUC
RNAcentral lists this ribosomal RNA (460 nucleotides) under uncultured bacterium. Its description in RNAcentral is "partial 16S ribosomal RNA". It matches the Rfam family "Bacterial small subunit ribosomal RNA", at positions 338 to 795 of the family's 1533-position model. The record is from RNAcentral.